Molecule: transfer RNA, 72 nt
Filed under: Klebsiella phage KP12
Lineage: Duplodnaviria; Heunggongvirae; Uroviricota; Caudoviricetes
Description: tRNA-Asn
Rfam family: tRNA
About the family: Transfer RNA (tRNA) molecules are approximately 80 nucleotides in length. Their secondary structure includes four short double-helical elements and three loops (D, anti-codon, and T loops).
Source: RNAcentral
GGAUUGGUAGCUCAGAGGCAGAGCGCUCGCCUGUUAAGCGAGGGGUCGGGAUUUCGAAACUCCCCCUUUCCG